AUUGAACGCUGGUGGCAGGCUUAACACAUGCAGGUCGAACGGUAACAGGAAUUAGCUUGCUAAUUUGCUGACGAGUGGCGGACGGGUGAGUAAUGCUUGGGAAUCUGGCUUAUGGAGGGGGAUAACUACGGGAAACUGUAGCUAAUACCGCGUAAAAUCUUCGGAUUAAAGGGUGGGACUUUCGAGCCACCUGCCAUAAGAUGAGCCCAAGUGGGAUUAGGUAGUUGGUUAGGUAAAGGCUGACCAAGCCGACGAUCUCUAGCUGGUCUGAGAGGAUGACCAGCCACACUGGAACUGAGACACGGUCCAGACUCCUACGGGAGGCAGCAGUGGGGAAUAUUGCACAAUGGGGGGAACCCUGAUGCAGCCAUGCCGCGUGAAUGAAGAAGGCCUUCGGGUUGUAAAGUUCUUUCGGUGACGAGGAAGGUUGAUAGGUUAAUAGCCUAUCAAAUUGACGUUAAUCACAGAAGAAGCACCGGCUAACUCCGUG
Molecule: ribosomal RNA, 490 nt
Filed under: uncultured bacterium
Lineage: Bacteria
Description: partial 16S ribosomal RNA
Rfam family: Bacterial small subunit ribosomal RNA
Source: RNAcentral